RNAcentral lists this ribosomal RNA (458 nucleotides) under uncultured bacterium. Its description in RNAcentral is "bacterial SSU rRNA". It matches the Rfam family "Bacterial small subunit ribosomal RNA", at positions 343 to 793 of the family's 1533-position model. The record is from RNAcentral.
UGGAGGCAGCAGUGGGGAAUUUUGCGCAAUGGGGGAAACCCUGACGCAGCAACGCCGCGUGAGUGAUGAAGGCUUUCGGGUCGUAAAGCUCUGUCAGUAGGGAAGAAAUGAGGUUGGCUAAUACCCAGCCUUCUUGACGGUACCUACAAAGGAAGCACCGGCUAACUCCGUGCCAGCAGCCGCGGUAAUACGGAGGGUGCAAGCGUUGUUCGGAUUUAUUGGGCGUAAAGCGCGUGUAGGCGGUCUCUUAAGUCUGAUGUGAAAGCCCUGGGCUCAACCCAGGAAGUGCAUUGGAUACUGGGAGACUUGAAUACGGGAGAGGGUAGUGGAAUUCCUAGUGUAGGAGUGAAAUCCGUAGAUAUUAGGAGGAACACCGGUGGCGAAGGCGGCUACCUGGACCGAUAUUGACGCUGAGACGCGAAAGCGUGGGGAGCAAACAGGAUUAGAUACCCUUGUAU